GAUGAACGCUAGCGACAGGCUUAACACAUGCAAGUCGAGGGGCAGCGGGGGUGAUGGCUUGCCAUCACCUGCCGGCGACCGGCGCACGGGUGAGUAACACGUAUGGAACCUGCCCGCCACAGGGGGAUAACCCGGGGAAACCCGGCCUAAUACCCCAUGCCGCCCGGACCGGGCAUCCGGUCCGGGCGAAAGGAGGAAUCCGGUGGCGGCUGGGCAUGCGGCGCAUUAGCUUGACGGCGGGGUAACGGCCCACCGUGGCGACGAUGCGUAGGGGUUCUGAGAGGAAGGCCCCCCACACUGGAACUGAGACACGGUCCAG
RNAcentral lists this ribosomal RNA (319 nucleotides) under uncultured bacterium. RNAcentral describes it as "bacterial SSU rRNA". It matches the Rfam family "Bacterial small subunit ribosomal RNA", at positions 28 to 334 of the family's 1533-position model. The record is from RNAcentral.